GGCCGUAGCCUCUCCUCACACAGCGCCACGCUUCCAUUUUCCCCUCUGCGGACGUCCGAUUCCCAGGCUCGGCGCUCAACCUCAGCCUCUACGCCCGGUCCGGCGGCCGAAAGCACCAGGAGCUCCCCAUCACUAGACGUCGGGACUCCCGGCCCGGCUGCAAGGCAUGCUGGGAGGAUCGGGCUGCCGGCCGCCAAGUCCCCAUCUUGCUCCGCGGAAGUCUGCGAAUUACAACGCCGAAUUGUAUUCAAGCAGCAUGCGCAGAGCGGGAGAAGCGUAGACGGCCAUUUCGAAAUAGGGCAGACGCCCGACUUCUGUCUUAAAGAAACAAGAACUAAGGGCCAAACAGCUUUGCGUAGACCUACGGAAGGGUAGGGGGUGGUGACUUCGUGAGAGCUAAGAAGAAAAAGGGAGGCGACCAUUUCAGCAUCUGGACUGGGACAUCCAGAUUGGAUCUGCAAACAAGGCAGGACCAGGAGAUAGAAGAAAAGUCCAAAACAAACUGAAACAGAAAUGUUUUACUUUGACACAUCUGGAGAAGGCCUUCACUAGCUUCCAGAGGACAGGAAGAAUCAGAAGGCCCCUGGACAUUUAGCUGGAAGGAGUCCUUUGUGAAGGCUAACAUCAAAGUGUAAGAGCCUGUGUUGACUGACCUGCCAGACGGGUUAAGUGGCACCCAACCCAAUGAGGGGCGCUGAGUACGAGGGGUUUCAUGAAGAAUGCUGAUCGACCACAUUAGGAUUGCCGGCUGAACUUGAAGAAUUUAUAGGGAGACGACUACGAGGGAACUUACCAGGGCUCGGGGACCAUGUUUGGGAAAUGGUGGCACCUCCUUUGGAUGGUUGGUUUCCGGUAUCUGGUAAGACCCAUACAGGGUGGAUUUGAGGAUCCCAAUGCAGCCAGACGGUUCAUACAGGAACGUUUUGGGAAUCCUUGUGAGUGCCGAGGAGGAUCUAGGGAAACUUUCCCCGACUGGGUUCUAUCUGAGAGUGGAACUAUCCGCAACCCCAUCAUUUCCAUGGUUAACUGUGGCUCUAAGACAGCGUAUCGAGUAGCCAUUGGUUCCAACACAGGAGGUGCUAAUAUGAAAUAUUUCUGUGUAUCCAAACCACAGAUUAUUCCUGUUGCAGACGGCUGUCCUGGGCCCUGCCCAUGCACCAUCUUUUAUGAUACCAUGCAUAAUAGUUGCUAUAGUUCCAUUCAGCAAUGUGUGAAUAAAAAUGAUAACAAAACAUAUUUUAUGGCCACCCUAGGUCAGAAUGCCCAUGCUAGAGGGAGCGAUAAUAACAAGAUGAUGCAGUCCUCCUGCCAUGGCAGUGUGGGAAAACCUGUUUGCUGGAAUGUAUUCCCUCCCAUUCAUGUAUCUGAUGGAGGAGGACUGCAAGAUAAGUAUAGGAUGGCCAAAACCCAAGAUAAUAGAGGAAUUAAACCCUAAGUUUAAUUAUCACCCUAUAGCACUCCCUGGACCUCGGGAUUCUAUUAUAGAGUUUUCUGCCUUUUCCAUCUUGGAAAGCACCCACAAAAUUCUAAACGCUUCUAACCCUUCGCUGGCACAACAUUGUUGGUUGUACCUAAAAAUGGGGGUGCCUGUACCCGUGGCUGCUUUUAUGUGAAGAAGUCUGGCAUCGUCAGGAAUAAGAUCAAGACGCUUCAAGAAGACGUAGAGAAGAGAAGGAGGGAACUCAUCGACAGCCCUUUUCUCAGUGGAUUUCAUGGACUCCUACCCUAUCUCCUCCCACUUUUAGGACCUACUGGGGGUUUAUUGAUCUUAGUGUCCUUGGGCCCUGUUCUAUUCAAUAAGGUCAUGGCAUUUCUAAGGCAGCAAAUAGAUGCUAAUGCAGCCUAUCCAGGUCCACUAUCACAAGCUAGAUAUGGCCGAUCAGGAGGCUGGUGAAGAACCAUUUUAUGGCAAGAGGCACGGGCUGGUUAGCCAAUGACAGGUAAGAGGAGCCUUAUUGCCAUCCUAUCAACCUAAGACAGGCUACUCAGACAUAGGCUUCUGGGUAUGCCCAUGACGGGUAAGAGGGUUGGCAC
This is a long non-coding RNA of Suricata suricatta (meerkat), 2034 nucleotides long. RefSeq lists it as uncharacterized. NCBI's taxonomy places the organism in Eukaryota, Metazoa, Chordata, Mammalia, Carnivora, Herpestidae. The transcript is spliced from 5 exons. The record is from RefSeq and is a predicted model, not a curated record.